RNAcentral lists this ribosomal RNA (274 nucleotides) under uncultured bacterium. RNAcentral's name for it is "partial 16S ribosomal RNA". It matches the Rfam family "Bacterial small subunit ribosomal RNA", at positions 523 to 796 of the family's 1533-position model. The record is from RNAcentral.
AUACGGAGGGUGCAAGCGUUGUCCGGAUUUAUUGGGUUUAAAGGGUGCGUAGGUGGUUUUUUAAGUCAGUGGUGAAAGCCUACAGCUUAACUGUAGAGGUGCCAUUGAAACUGGGGAACUUGAGUAUGGACGAGGUAGGCGGAAUUUGUGGUGUAGCGGUGAAAUGCAUAGAUACCACAAAGAACACCGAUAGCGAAGGCAGCUUACUAGGCCAUAACUGACACUGAGGCACGAAAGUGUGCGGAGCGAACAGGAUUAGAUACCCUAGUAGUCC